This 914-nucleotide ribosomal RNA is filed under the name uncultured crenarchaeote. RNAcentral's name for it is "bacterial SSU rRNA". It matches the Rfam family "Archaeal small subunit ribosomal RNA", at positions 1 to 923 of the family's 1478-position model. Lineage: Archaea; Thermoproteati; Thermoproteota. The record is from RNAcentral.
UCCGGUUGAUCCUGCCGGACCUGACUGCUAUCGGAUCGAUACUAAGCCAUGCGAGUCAUUGUAGCAAUACAAGGCAGACGGCUCAGUAACGCGUAGUCAACCUACCCUAUGGACGGGAAUAACCUCGGGAAACUGAGUAUAAUGCCAGAUAGAACACUAUACCUGGAAUGGUUUGUGUUUCAAAUGAUUUAUUGCCGUAGGAUGGGACUGCGGCCUAUCAGUUUGUUGGUGAGGUAAUGGCCCACCAAGACUAUUACAGGUACGGGCUCUGAGAGGAGUAGCCCGGAGAUGGGUACUGAGACACGGACCCAGGCCCUAUGGGGCGCAGCAGGCGAGAAAACUUUGCAAUGUGCGAAAGCACGACAAGGUUAAUCCGAGUGAUUUCUGCUAAAGGAAUCUUUUGUCAGUCCUAGAAACACUGUUGAAUAAGGGGUGGGCAAGUUCUGGUGUCAGCCGCCGCGGUAAAACCAGCACCUCAAGUGGUCAGGAUGAUUAUUGGGCCUAAAGCAUCCGUAGCCUGCUUUGUCAGUUUUCGGUUAAAUCCAUACGCUCAACGUAUGGGCUGCCGGAAAUACUGCAAAGCUAGGGAGUGGGAGAGGUAGACGGUACUCGGUAGGAAGGGGUAAAAUCCUUUGAUCUAUCGAUGACCACCUGUGGCGAAGGCGGUCUACCAGAACACGUCCGACGGUGAGGGAUGAAAGCUGGGGGAGCAAACCGGAUUAGAUACCCGGGUAGUCCCAGCUGUAAACUAUGCAAACUCAGUGAUGCAUUGGCUUGAUGCCAAUGCAGUGUUGCAGGGAAGCCGUUAAGUUUGCCGCCUGGGAAGUACGUACGCAAGUAUGAAACUUAAAGGAAUUGGCGGGGGAGCACCACAAGGGGUGAAGCCUGCGGUUCAAUUGGAGUCAACGCCGGGA